Molecule: transfer RNA, 71 nt
Filed under: Loxodonta africana (African savanna elephant)
Lineage: Eukaryota; Metazoa; Chordata; Mammalia; Proboscidea; Elephantidae
Rfam family: tRNA
About the family: Transfer RNA (tRNA) molecules are approximately 80 nucleotides in length.
Source: Rfam by way of RNAcentral
CCCUGGGUGGCAUAAAUGUUUAAGCACUUGGCUACUAACUGAAAAAUUGGUGGUUCGAAUCCACCCAGGGG